Molecule: ribosomal RNA, 253 nt
Filed under: uncultured bacterium
Lineage: Bacteria
Description: partial 16S ribosomal RNA
Rfam family: Bacterial small subunit ribosomal RNA (bases 27-253)
Source: RNAcentral
UACCAGCACCCCGAGUGGUCGGGACGUUUAUUGGGCCUAAAGCAUCCGUAGGCGGAUCGCUAAGUCAGGGGUGAAAUCCCAGGGCUCAACCCUGGAACUGCCUUUGAUACUGACGAUCUGGAGAUCGGGAGAGGUUGGUGGAAUUCCGAGUGUAGAGGUGAAAUUCGUAGAUAUUCGGAGGAACACCAGAAGCGAAGGCGGCCAACUGGCCCGAUACUGACGCUGAGGCGCGAAAGCGUGGGGAGCAAACAGG